UUCUUUUUCUGUCUAUUUUUGCUUAUUUGUUUUGGUAACCGCCUUUGAUUAUACUACGUGUCCUUCAUCGCCGGUGUAAACCAAUAGAAAAUUGGUUAGUGUCAACGACGCUUAUCGUUUCUAUUCCCCCAUUUUAUCCGAUGCUCCAUAGGCUACUCUUCAAAUCGACUGGCCCUCCUUCUCUUCCGAUCAAUUUCUCCACCGCUUUCUCAUUAGCACACCGCCACCGUCUCCAACCCCUUCUAGUCGUUCCCUCUUCUUUCUAUUCAUUCCUUCUUUAAGUUUUUCGCAUCGUCUUCUCUCGCUAUCUAAAGCAACGAUCUCUGCUUCCUCCCAUUACCGUAUGAACCAUCGACACACCCUCUCUUUCUCUACAUCUCACCGAUUUCCCGAAAACCCAUCAGCUACACCGAUCAAUUUCCGUUUACCCCACAGCAACCACUUGACGAUGAUGAAUUUCAACGCGCUGAAGCCCUCGCCCAUAUUUGUUACCUGAAGUAUCUUCCCAAACGAUGAAUUUUUUUUUGGAACCCACAUGUUGAAGUUUGUAAACUUUCAUUUUUGAGUGUAUAUGUGUAUGUACAAGAGGAUUAUUGACCUUCCGGUGGCAGCAACAGGAAAGACAGUUGAUACAAGAAUUGCUUAUGUCGGUGCCUAAGGUUGGGAGUAUAAUUGGACGGAAAGGAGAUAUAAUCAAAAAGAUGUGUGAAGCCACCAAAGCUCGAAUUCGCGUACUCGACGCUCCUGUUGGUACCCCUGACCACAUUGUCUUAAUCUCUGGCAAAGAAGAAACAAAGGCACCUCUCUCACCUGCCAUGGAUGUUGUAAUAAGAGUAUUUAAAAGAGUUAAUGGAUUUCCAGAGAACGAAGGUGAAAGUAUUGCAUCGGUACCAUUUUGUUCAAUCCGAUUGUUGGUGCCAUCAAUGCAAGCCAUCAGUCUGAUUGGAUUUGAAAAAAAUGCUCUUAACACAUAAGUGUUUGUGGCAGAUGUAACCCCACCACCAUUGAAGUCUCAUGCAAGAAUUAUGAGAUUCCUUCAAGCAUCUGGUAUUGAUCCUGCAAGCCUACCAAUAUCAAAUGGUACUUCUAUUGAGAGAAAUAAAAAGUUCUCAAAAUGCGUUCAAGAAUGUGUGGUUGGUAUCUGUAUUUUUGUAUUUGGAGUUAUGUAUCACAAAAAAAUGUUUUACCAUGAAAGUAAUUAUAUUUUCUUAACAAUAAAUCUGACCUUUUUUUCUAUGUGAACAAGCCUCCUACUUUCGAGAAGAUUUGUUCAAUUGCAUACCAUAUAAGAAUUCAGAGCUCCAUCAGGUGAAGGAAUAUGAGGAGGAUUGUUAUAAUUAUACGAUUUGGAGGUCUGUUUGGGUUUUGUUGUCGUUCUAUUUAGGGUUAUUUUUGGGUGAAUUUUUGUUAUUACUUUGAAGGAACAUCGAUUCAUUUUUCUAAUUUCCUUGACUUCUAUGUUGUUGUAAAUGAUACAACCCCUAAUUGCAUUGGUCAAAAGGUGAGCCUAUGGUAGUCAAUGAUGUGCUUUCAACUUCCUCAGGGCUAACAAUGAAGGUGCAGUUUCGUCUCUAAUCUAAAUGACAUCUUUACUCUUUUACCUAAAAAUGAGAGUAAAGUUACGAAACUAUAAACAAAUAUGUCCCUUUUGUAACAAGCUUUUACAUUCUGCAUGAACAAAAAGUGUAAGUGACCAUUUUACCCCUCUUUUGAUAAUAAGUUUUCUGUGUUUGAUGC
This is a long non-coding RNA of Lactuca sativa (garden lettuce), 1737 nucleotides long. RefSeq lists it as uncharacterized. Lineage: Eukaryota; Viridiplantae; Streptophyta; Magnoliopsida; Asterales; Asteraceae. The record is from RefSeq and is a predicted model, not a curated record.